Molecule: ribosomal RNA, 237 nt
Filed under: uncultured bacterium
Lineage: Bacteria
Description: partial 16S ribosomal RNA
Rfam family: Bacterial small subunit ribosomal RNA
Source: RNAcentral
CGGGACGGGUGAGUAACGCGUGGGUAACCGUGCCUCAUACAGGGGGAUAACGGUUAGAAAUGACUGCUAAUACCGCAUAAGCGCACAGUACCGCAUGGUACAGUGCGAAAAACUCCGGUGGUAUGAGAUGGACCCGCGUCUGAUUAGCUAGUUGGUGAGGUAACGGCCCACCAAGGCGACGAUCAGUAGCCGACCUGAGAGGGUGACCGGCCACAUUGGGACUGAGACACGGCCCAG